CGACGUCUGUUCCUCUUCCUGUGUGAAGUCAAUCAGGAGGAUUUUAAGACGUCGCAGAGCAAAUUGAGUCUUUUUCACCCAGAGAGCUUCAGGCAGCUGCAGCCAAUCAGAACUUCUGGUAGCUGCAGCAGCCAAUCAUCA
This 141-nucleotide small nucleolar RNA is filed under the name Sparus aurata (gilthead seabream). Its description in RNAcentral is "Small nucleolar RNA SNORA79 (ENSSAUG00010014189.1)". It matches the Rfam family "Small nucleolar RNA SNORA79". From Rfam's summary of the family: ACA65 (SNORA79) is a member of the H/ACA class of snoRNAs that guide the sites of modification of uridines to pseudouridines. This snoRNA was identified by computational screening and its expression in mouse experimentally verified by Northern blot and primer extension analysis. Lineage: Eukaryota; Metazoa; Chordata; Actinopteri; Spariformes; Sparidae. The record is from Rfam by way of RNAcentral.